GGCUCAGGACGAACGCUGGCGGCGUGCUUAACACAUGCAAGUCGAGCGGUAAGGCCCUUCGGGGUACACGAGCGGCGAACGGGUGAGUAACACGUGAGCAAUCUGCCCUUCACUUUGGGAUAACCACCGGAAACGGUGGCUAAUACCGAAUACGACCACUUCCUGCAUGGGAUGGUGGUGGAAAGUUCCGGCGGUGGAGGAUGAGCUCGCGGCCUAUCAGCUUGUUGGUGGGGUAAUGGCCUACCAAGGCAACGACGGGUAGCCGGCCUGAGAGGGUGACCGGCCACACUGGGACUGAGACACGGCCCAGACUCCUACGGGAGGCAGCAGUGGGGAAUAUUGGACAAUGGGCGAAAGCCUGAUCCAGCAACGCCGCGUGAGGGAUGACGGCCUUCGGGUUGUAAACCUCUUUCAGUAGGGACGAAGCGCAAGUGACGGUACCUACAGAAGAAGCACCGGCCAACUACGUGCCAGCAGCCGCGGUAAUACGUAGGGUGCGAGCGUUGUCCGGAAUUAUUGGGCGUAAAGGGCUCGUAGGCGGUUUGUCGCGUCGGGAGUGAAAACACGGGGCUUAACCCCGUGCCUGCUUCCGAUACGGGCAGACUAGAGGUAUGCAGGGGAGAACGGAAUUCCUGGUGUAGCGGUGAAAUGCGCAGAUAUCAGGAGGAACACCGGUGGCGAAGGCGGUUCUCUGGGCAUUACCUGACGCUGAGGAGCGAAAGUGUGGGGAGCGAACAGGAUUAGAUACCCUGGUAGUCCACACCGUAAACGUUGGGCGCUAGGUGUGGGACUCAUUCCACGAGUUCCGUGCCGCAGCUAACGCAUUAAGCGCCCCGCCUGGGGAGUACGGCCGCAAGGCUAAAACUC
RNAcentral lists this ribosomal RNA (867 nucleotides) under uncultured bacterium. RNAcentral's name for it is "bacterial SSU rRNA". It matches the Rfam family "Bacterial small subunit ribosomal RNA", at positions 21 to 902 of the family's 1533-position model. The record is from RNAcentral.